UACGUAGGUGGCAAGCGUUGUCCGGAAUUAUUGGGCGUAAAGCGCGCGCAGGCGGUCCUUUAAGUCUGAUGUGAAAGCCCACGGCUCAACCGUGGAGGGUCAUUGGAAACGGGCGGGCUUGAGUUCGGGAGAGGAGCGUGGAAUUCCCAGUGUAGAGGUGAAAUUCGUAGAUAUUGGGAAGAACACCGGUGGCGAAGGCGGCGCUCUGGACCGAGACUGACGCUGAGGCGCGAAAGCGUGGGGAGCAAACAGG
RNAcentral lists this ribosomal RNA (253 nucleotides) under uncultured bacterium. Its description in RNAcentral is "partial 16S ribosomal RNA". It matches the Rfam family "Bacterial small subunit ribosomal RNA", at positions 524 to 776 of the family's 1533-position model. The record is from RNAcentral.